AGAGUUUGAUCAUGGCUCAGAACGAACGCUGGCGGCGUGCCUAACACAUGCAAGUCGAGCGAGAAAGUUCCUUCGGGAACGAGUACAGCGGCGCACGGGUGAGUAACACGUAGGUAACCUUCCCUCGAGCCCGGAAUAACCCGUCGAAAGAUGGGCUAAUACCGGAUGGGACCACGGUGGUCACGGCCACCGCGGUGAAAGAUGGCCUCUGUUCACAAGCUAUUACUCGGGGAUGGGCCUGCGCGCCAUUAGCUAGUUGGUGAGGUAACGGCUCACCAAGGCGAUGAUGGCUAGCUGGUCUGAGAGGAUGACCAGCCACACUGGGACUGACACACGGCCCAGACUCCUACGGGAGGCAGCAGUGGGGGAUAUUGCGCAAUGGGCGAAAGCCUGACGCAGCGACGCCGCGUGGGUGAUGAAGGCCUUCGGGUCGUAAAGCCCUGUCGAGGGGGACGAAUAAGCCCGGCCCUAAUACGGUCGGGCCCUGACGGUACCCCUAAAGGAAGCACCGGCUAACUCCGUGCCAGCAGCCGCGGUAAUACGGAGGGUGCAAGCGUUGUUCGGAAUUACUGGGCGUAAAGGGCGUGUAGGCGGUCCGCUAAGUCUGAUGUGAAAGCCCGAGGCUUACCCUCGGAAGUGCAUUGGAGACUGGCGGACUAGAGUCCCGGAGAGGAGGGUGGAAUUCCUGGUGUAGCGGUGAAAUGCGUAGAUAUCAGGAGGAACACCGGUGGCGAAGGCGGCCCUCUGGACGGUGACUGACGCUGAGACGCGAAAGCGUGGGGAGCAAACAGGAUUAGAUACCCUGGUAGUCCACGCUGUAAACGAUGAGCACUAGGUGUCGCGGGUAUUGACCCCUGCGGUGCCGACGCUAACGCAUUAAGUGCUCUGCCUGGGGAGUACGGUCGCAAGAUUAAAACUCAAAGGAAUUG
RNAcentral lists this ribosomal RNA (929 nucleotides) under uncultured bacterium. RNAcentral describes it as "bacterial SSU rRNA". It matches the Rfam family "Bacterial small subunit ribosomal RNA", at positions 8 to 912 of the family's 1533-position model. The record is from RNAcentral.